CACCGGCGCAGUGUUUUCCAGCCGUUGCGUGUAUUGUUAUACAGAGUUUGAAUAUUGUUUAUUUGAUAAUAAUAUCACUUUUUAUGUGUUUGAAGAUCGGAAAAGCAUACACAUAAGUGGCAUUCACACACUUGUCGUCUCAGAGAUCAUGAAGAAUGACCAGCUUCAGCAGUUCAGCUCAGGUCCGGGGCUGGUCCUCUUGGCGGCGUGCAGAAGAGCGAGGAGUGGCUACCUGCACAUAACAGCACAAUGACUGGCACCGAGCUGAGGGCAUAAAAUCACAUCAUAUCGACUUCAGCAUCUGUCUCCCAGCUUUGGAGACGUCGCCCGAGUCCCUGAGUGGCGAGCGCCAGUUUCCGACAGGAAGUUGAGGAAGGCGACCCGAAAGCACCCGCUGGGCUGCCGACACUCCUGCGCUGCCAGCAGGGCGUGCUGCGCAGCAAAGCCUCGCUGCGUGGUCUGUACGACAUCCGACACCGGCACCCAGACGUGCAGUUUCUGAUGACAUCCUACCUCAACCAGGGCUGCCCCGAGAAUCUGCUGACUGCCUGCUGCUGAGGCCGACCUGCCGAGCCUGUCGCCGCCCCGACGGACCUGCCGACGACCUGCCGGACCUGUCGCCGCCCUGGUGAGCCUGCAGCCGCCCUGGGACCUGCUGCCAGCCCGGCGGGCCUGCCGCCGCGUCUACGCUGCCGCCCUGGCGAAACUGCCGUCGCCUUGCCGGACCCGUCGCCGCCCUGGUCAGCCUGCGGCCGCCCUGGGACCUGCUGCCACCCCGGCGGACCUACCGCUGCGUCUACGCUGCCGCCCUGGUGAAACUGCGGUCGCCCUGCCGGACCUGUCGCCGCCCUGGUAAACCUGCUGCCGACCUGUCGCACCUGCCACCGCCCUAGUGAAUCUGCUGCCGACCUGCCUGACCUGUCGCUGCCGUGGUGAACCUGCUACCGACCUGUCGGACCUUUCUCGCCGCCUUGACGAGCUUGGGGAGCCUGUGCUGCGGUGCCACCGCUCUGCUUCACUUGUGAUGUUGCCCGGUUCCUGGCUGUCGCGUGGUCAGUCGGCACACUGUGUUUGGAGAGGCGACAUCUUGUACAGCUUUCCGACAGUUCGGAACAUUUUAUUGUACCUACUCAAGUCGCAAUAGAUCGGGCUUGUGCCUUAUGUGUCCUC
This is a long non-coding RNA of Amphibalanus amphitrite, 1170 nucleotides long. RefSeq lists it as uncharacterized. The transcript has 2 exons. The record is from RefSeq and is a predicted model, not a curated record. Lineage: Eukaryota; Metazoa; Arthropoda; Thecostraca; Balanomorpha; Balanidae.